AUGAACGCUGGCGGCGUGCCUAAUACAUGCAAGUCGAGCGAACGGACGAGAAGCUUGCUUCUCUGAUGUUAGCGGCGGACGGGUGAGUAACACGUGGAUAACCUACCUAUAAGACUGGGAUAACUUCGGGAAACCGGAGCUAAUACCGGAUGAUAUUUUGAACCGCAUGGUUCAAAAGUGAAAGACGGUCUUGCUGUCACUUAUAGAUGGAUCCGCGCUGCAUUAGCUAGUUGGUAAGGUAACGGCUUACCAAGGCAACGAUGCAUAGCCGACCUGAGAGGGUGAUCGGCCACACUGGAACUGGGACACGGUCCAGACGCCUACGGGAGGCAGCAGUAGGGAAUCUUCCGCAAUGGGCGAAAGCCUGACGGAGCAACGCCGCGUGAGUGAUGAAGGUCUUCGGAUCGUAAAACUCUGUUAUUAGGGAAGAACAUAUGUGUAAGUAACUGUGCACAUCUUGACGGUACCUAAUCAGAAAGCCACGGCUAACUACGUG
RNAcentral lists this ribosomal RNA (496 nucleotides) under uncultured bacterium. RNAcentral describes it as "partial 16S ribosomal RNA". It matches the Rfam family "Bacterial small subunit ribosomal RNA", at positions 29 to 507 of the family's 1533-position model. The record is from RNAcentral.